Molecule: long non-coding RNA, 129 nt
Organism: Protopterus annectens (West African lungfish)
Lineage: Eukaryota; Metazoa; Chordata; Ceratodontiformes; Protopteridae
Exons: 3
Source: RefSeq, a predicted model, not a curated record
UAUUAACUUUCUACAAGCUUUAUUUAAUGAAUCAUUUUAUUUAACUUAAGCUCUUGUAUUAUUAAAUGUGAACGAAGGUCCUCAUUUGAAUAGGUCAAACAUGGAUCUAGUAUGGACUGUACUUGCAAU